Molecule: RNA transcript, 5918 nt
Organism: Pan troglodytes (chimpanzee)
Lineage: Eukaryota; Metazoa; Chordata; Mammalia; Primates; Hominidae
Gene: IFT122
Gene name: intraflagellar transport 122
Exons: 31
Source: RefSeq, a predicted model, not a curated record
AGGGGUAACGCAGGUAGCCAAAGUGGCUUGUGGAGUGGCGACCGUUAGUGAGGCGGUUGCUGAGACAGACGCUGAGGCGGGUAGGAGGAGCCCGAGCCGUAAGGGAAGCCGUGAUGAGGGCCGUGUUGACGUGGAGAGAUAAAGCCGAGCACUGUAUAAAUGACAUCGCAUUUAAGCCUGAUGGAACUCAACUGAUUUUGGCUGCCGGAAGCAGAUUACUGGUUUAUGACACCUCUGAUGGCACCUUACUUCAGCCCCUCAAGGGACACAAAGACACUGUGUACUGUGUGGCAUAUGCGAAGGAUGGCAAGCGCUUUGCUUCUGGAUCAGCUGACAAAAGCGUUAUUAUCUGGACAUCAAAACUGGAAGGCAUUCUGAAGUACACGCACAAUGAUGCUAUACAAUGUGUCUCCUACAAUCCUAUUACUCAUCAACUGGCAUCUUGUUCCUCCAGUGACUUUGGGUUGUGGUCUCCUGAACAGAAGUCUGUCUCCAAACACAAAUCAAGCAGCAAGAUCAUCUGUUGCAGCUGGACAAAUGAUGGUCAGUACCUGGCGCUGGGGAUGUUCAAUGGGAUCAUCAGCAUACGGAACAAAAAUGGCGAGGAGAAAGUAAAGAUCGAGCGGCCGGGGGGCUCCCUCUCGCCAAUAUGGUCCAUCUGCUGGAACCCUUCAAGCCGAUGGGAGAGUUUCUGGAUGAACAGAGAGAAUGAGGAUGCCGAGGAUGUCAUUGUCAACAGAUAUAUUCAGGAAAUCCCUUCCACUCUGAAGUCAGCAGUGUACAGUAGUCAGGGUAGUGAGGCAGAGGAGGAAGAACCAGAGGAAGAAGACGACAGUCCCAGGGACGACAACUUAGAGGAACGUAAUGACAUCCUGGCUGUGGCUGACUGGGGACAGAAAGUUUCCUUCUACCAACUGAGUGGAAAACAGAUUGGAAAGGAUCGGGCACUGAACUUUGACCCCUGCUGCAUCAGCUACUUUACUAAAGGCGAGUACAUUUUGCUGGGGGGUUCAGACAAGCAAGUAUCUCUUUUCACCAAGGAUGGAGUGCGGCUUGGGACUGUUGGGGAGCAGAACUCCUGGGUGUGGACGUGUCAAGCGAAACCGGAUUCCAACUAUGUGGUGGUCGGCUGCCAGGACGGCACCAUUUCCUUCUACCAGCUUAUUUUCAGCACAGUCCAUGGGCUUUACAAGGACCGCUAUGCCUACAGGGAUAGCAUGACUGACGUCAUUGUGCAGCACCUGAUCACUGAGCAGAAAGUUCGGAUUAAAUGCAAAGAGCUUGUCAAGAAGAUUGCCAUCUACAGAAAUCGAUUGGCUAUCCAACUGCCAGAGAAAAUCCUCAUCUAUGAGUUGUAUUCAGAGGACUUAUCAGACAUGCAUUACCGGGUAAAGGAGAAGAUUAUCAAGAAGUUUGAGUGCAACCUCCUGGUGGUGUGUGCCAAUCACAUCAUCCUGUGCCAGGAGAAACGGCUGCAGUGCCUGUCCUUCAGCGGAGUGAAGGAGCGGGAGUGGCAGAUGGAGUCUCUCAUUCGUUACAUCAAGGUGAUCGGUGGCCCUCCUGGAAGAGAAGGCCUCUUAGUGGGGCUGAAGAAUGGACAGAUCCUGAAGAUCUUCGUGGACAAUCUCUUUGCUAUCGUCCUGCUGAAGCAGGCCACAGCUGUGCGCUGCUUGGACAUGAGUGCCUCCCGUAAGAAGCUGGCCGUGGUAGAUGAAAAUGACACUUGCCUGGUGUAUGACAUCGACACCAAGGAGCUGCUUUUUCAGGAACCAAACGCCAACAGUGUGGCCUGGAACACCCAGUGUGAGGACAUGCUCUGCUUCUCGGGAGGAGGCUACCUCAACAUCAAAGCCAGCACCUUCCCUGUGCACCGGCAGAAGCUGCAGGGCUUUGUGGUCGGCUACAAUGGCUCCAAGAUCUUCUGCCUCCAUGUCUUCUCCAUUUCUGCUGUGGAGGUGCCGCAGUCCGCUCCCAUGUACCAGUACCUGGAUAGGAAACUGUUCAAGGAAGCCUACCAGAUUGCUUGCUUGGGUGUCACAGACACUGAUUGGCGUGAACUGGCCAUGGAAGCGCUAGAAGGUUUAGAUUUUGAAACAGCAAAGAAGGCCUUCAUCAGAGUACAAGACCUCCGAUAUUUAGAGCUCAUCAGCAGCAUUGAGGAGAGGAAGAAGCGGGGAGAGACCAACAAUGACCUGUUUCUGGCAGAUGUGUUUUCCUACCAGGGGAAGUUCCAUGAGGCCGCCAAACUGUACAAGAGGAGUGGGCACGAGAACCUCGCGCUUGAAAUGUACACCGACCUCUGCAUGUUUGAGUAUGCCAAGGAUUUCCUUGGAUCUGGAGACCCCAAAGAAACAAAGAUGCUAAUCACCAAACAGGCUGACUGGGCCAGAAAUAUCAAGGAGCCCAAAGCCGCCGUGGAGAUGUACAUCUCAGCAGGAGAGCACGUCAAGGCCAUCGAGAUCUGUGGUGACCAUGGCUGGGUUGACAUGUUGAUCGACAUCGCCCGCAAGCUGGACAAGGCUGAGCGCGAGCCCCUGCUGCUGUGCGCUACCUACCUCAAGAAGCUGGACAGCCCUGGCUAUGCUGCUGAGACCUACCUGAAGAUGGGUGACCUCAAGUCCCUGGUGCAGCUGCACGUGGAGACCCAGCGCUGGGCUGAGGCCUUUGCUUUGGGUGAGAAGCAUCCUGAGUUUAAGGAUGACAUCUACGUGCCGUAUGCUCAGUGGCUAGCAGAGAACGAUCGCUUUGAGGAAGCCCAGAAAGCGUUCCACAAGGCUGGGCGACAGAGAGAAGCGGUCCAGGUGCUGGAGCAGCUCACAAACAAUGCCGUAGCAGAGAGCAGGUUUAAUGAUGCUGCCUAUUAUUACUGGAUGCUGUCCAUGCAAUGCCUCGAUAUAGCUCAAGUUUGCCCAUCAGAAUGGUAUGAGGACCGUCCUGGGGUUAUGGUUGGCAGGUCCAGCCCUGCAUUGCUAAUUCAGAGCAUAUCUCUCCCCUGCUACCUGGGAGCCCAUAGCUGGACCUGGCAGAUCCUGCCCAGAAGGACACAAUGCUUGGCAAGUUCUACCACUUCCAGCGUUUGGCAGAGCUGUACCAUGGUUACCAUGCCAUCCAUCGCCACACGGAAGAUCCGUUCAGUGUCCAUCGUCCUGAAACUCUUUUCAACAUCUCCAGGUUCCUGCUGCACAGCCUGCCCAAGGACACCCCCUCGGGCAUCUCUAAAGUGUAUCCUUUCUCUUAUCCCUCCCCCAUCCCACCACCGUUCUUGUCUAAUGGCCCCAAGAAAUUCCUUCCAGAGCACUUUCCUGGCAGAACCUUCCUCUCUCAGCAACCCUCAGGGAAGACAGAGAACUCACCCUCCCACUGCUGUUUGGCUAUAGAGGCUCAGCAGGGAGGCCCAGGGGCCCAGGCCAAGAGAAGAUGAGUUUUCAGGGCUCUCUGAGCUGAACCCAGCAGUGGGUCUCUGGCCAACACACUGUCCCAAUCCCUCCUAGAACCCACAGAUGAGGGUGUGACUGAAAUGGAAGAAGCACCAGGCCUUCAGGCUUGGAACCUUGGGCACUUCUCCAGACUGGGGAGGAGGGAGUGUUUGUUCAGCCCAGGUAUACAUAGCACCUUCUGUGCCCCAAGCCCUGGGCCAGGCACCAGGUGGCAAAGCUGCCAUCAAAGAGGGAGGUCACAAGUUAGGGUCUGGUUUGGUGGAUGUGUGCUGUGUCUGAGGGUGGAAUGAAGCUGAGGUCAGGGCCAUGGUCAGGGAAGUUUACCUGGAGGAGGUGAUGUCCAUCAUGCAAGCUGAGGCAGCCAGGGAAGAUGGCCAAGUGGAUGUUCCGGGGGAGGACCCAGCAUAUGGAGAGCCAUCGAGGGCCACAGUGGUGCCAUAAGCAGAGCAGGUGCCUGAAGGGCCUGUGCAGCCGGAUACUGGAUCAUUACCAGGCAAUGAUCCAGAUUUUUAAGGUCUUGGAUGUCAGGAGACAUAAUUGUCCCUGUUCUUUUCUAAAUCUCACUGUACUCUCAGCUCCUUCCCAGCCGCAGCCCCACCUUCCCUCUGUAAGGAAAACCCACUCCACUGGAGAAGACCCAGAGCUCCUUGUUGUAAGAAUUGGCCUCGCUAGAGGAUUCCAGGCCCAUUAUGUACAUUUCAGGGGAAAUACCCUCAAAUCAAGGGGUGCCUUCCUGGAGUCAGACCUCUGCUGCAUGCGUCUCCGUCUUUCCCCAUGGGAGCAGUCAGGGCUAUGCCUGUGGGGGCUGAGCACCUGUACUCAUCCUUUCCAGCAAGUUCUGUUUGAGUCAAUAGCUUGAUGGAACCUCUACCCCGAGCCUUACCCUGUGCCAUCCCCUGGGGACCUGGAAAUGGCUCCUGACAGUCCCUGACUUUGAGGAGUCAUGCUGGAGACACAGAAGGAAACUCUCCACAGAACUUCUGAAGUGGACGGGGCUACACUGCAGACGGCGGGAGCAGGAACACUGGGAGAGAUGCGGGAGGAAGGGCAGGAGGGCCUGGGGGCAGCCAACAUCGGAGGUGACCUGAGAGGAGAGCACAAAGGCUCGUCAGCCUCUGGCUGAGGAGCUUCAAGGGGGCCCCAGAGCACAGGCGAGGCUGCCGCUCAGAAACUGCCCACCAGGCCCUCGGGGAAGGGUGUGCAGACAGAGUGGGGUACACCCAGGGGCCUCAGAGCAGGGUUGAGGGUGGCUCCCCAGGGAGUCUGGACCAGGCCCCACCUGGCAGGGUGAGAGCAGAGUGCCCUUUGUGCCAGGCAUCCUAGGAGGGCCUGGCUGGCAGGUUUGGUGAGGCAGGAAGAGCCAUUUUGGCCUAGUCAGGGUAUAAGAUGAGCCAUCAGCAGGCCCAGAGAUGCUAAGCAAGGUUAAAGUAUUAAUGGAAACUACGCUGUUUUUAUCUUUGGAAAAAUUCCUGGGCCUUGCCGUCCGAGAAGUACACUCACCUCUCACAAGCGCACAGAGCCUUCCUCACGGUCUUUCCUCUGCCUUCCCGGCACCAGCACAAGCUGUGUUCCAGCCUGGGGCUCACUCCAAGGACAGGCAGUGCCAGCUCCUGGGCCUGGUGUUGCCCCUGCUGUCCUUAACCCUGUUCACGGCAGGAAAAUACUCUUCACCUUGGCCAAGCAGAGCAAGGCCCUCGGUGCCUACAGGCUGGCCCGGCACGCCUAUGACAAGCUGCGUGGCCUGUACAUCCCUGCCAGAUUCCAAAAGUCCAUUGAGCUGGGUACCCUGACCAUCCGCGCCAAGCCCUUCCACGACAGUGAGGAGUUGGUGCCCUUGUGCUACCGCUGCUCCACCAACAACCCGCUGCUCAACAACCUGGGCAACGUCUGCAUCAACUGCCGCCAGCCCUUCAUCUUCUCCGCGUCUUCCUACGACGUGCUACACCUGGUUGAGUUCUACCUGGAGGAAGGGAUCACUGAUGAAGAAGCCAUCUCCCUCAUCGACCUGGAGGUGCUGAGACCCAAGCGGGAUGACAGACAGCUAGAGAUUGCAAACAACAGCUCCCAGAUUCUGCGGCUAGUGGAGACCAAGGACUCCAUCGGAGAUGAGGACCCGUUCACAGCUAAGCUGAGCUUUGAGCAAGGUGGCUCAGAGUUCGUGCCAGUGGUGGUGAGCCGGCUGGUGCUGCGCUCCAUGAGCCGCCGGGAUGUCCUCAUUAAGCGAUGGCCCCCACCCCUGAGGUGGCAAUACUUCCGCUCGCUGCUGCCUGACGCCUCCAUUACCAUGUGCCCCUCCUGCUUCCAGAUGUUCCAUUCUGAGGACUAUGAGUUGCUGGUGCUUCAGCAUGGCUGCUGCCCCUACUGCCGCAGGUGCAAGGACGACCCUGGCCCAUGACCAGCAUCCUGGGGACGGCCUGCACCCUCUGCCCGCCUUGGGGUCUGCUGGGCUGUGAAGGAGAAUAAAGAGUUAAACUGUCAGAA